UACAGGGGGGGCGAGCGUUGUUCGGAAUUACUGGGCGUAAAGCGCACGUAGGCGGCUUUGUAAGUUAGAGGUGAAAGCCCAGGGCUCAACCCUGGAAUUGCCUUUAAGACUGCAUCGCUUGAACAUCGGAGAGGUAAGUGGAAUUCCGAGUGUAGAGGUGAAAUUCGUAGAUAUUCGGAAGAACACCAGUGGCGAAGGCGACUUACUGGACGAUUGUUGACGCUGAGGUGCGAAAGCGUGGGGAGCAAACAGGG
This 254-nucleotide ribosomal RNA is filed under the name uncultured bacterium. RNAcentral describes it as "partial 16S ribosomal RNA". It matches the Rfam family "Bacterial small subunit ribosomal RNA", at positions 524 to 777 of the family's 1533-position model. The record is from RNAcentral.